Molecule: ribosomal RNA, 497 nt
Filed under: uncultured bacterium
Lineage: Bacteria
Description: partial 16S ribosomal RNA
Rfam family: Bacterial small subunit ribosomal RNA
Source: RNAcentral
GACGAACGCUGGCGGCGUGCCUAAUACAUGCAAGUUGAGCGAUGAAGAUUGGUGCUUGCACCAAUUUGAAGAGCAGCGAACGGGUGAGUAACGCGUGGGGAAUCUACCUUUGAGCGGGGGACAACAUUUGGAAACGAAUGCUAAUACCGCAUAACAACUUUAAACAUAAGUUUUAAGUUUGAAAGAUGCAAUUGCAUCACUCAAAGAUGAUCCCGCGUUGUAUUAGCUAGUUGGUGAGGUAAAGGCUCACCAAGGCGAUGAUACAUAGCCGACCUGAGAGGGUGAUCGGCCACAUUGGGACUGAGACACGGCCCAAACUCCUACGGGAGGCAGCAGUAGGGAAUCUUCGGCAAUGGACGAAAGUCUGGCCGAGCAACGCCGCGUGAGUGAAGAAGGUUUUCGGAUCGUAAAACUCUGUUGGUAGAGAAGAACGUUGGUGAGAGUGGAAAGCUCAUCAAGUGACGGUAACUACCCAGAAAGGGACGGCUAACUACGUG